RNAcentral lists this transfer RNA (66 nucleotides) under Clavisyllis tenjini. RNAcentral describes it as "tRNA-Ser". Lineage: Eukaryota; Metazoa; Annelida; Polychaeta; Phyllodocida; Syllidae. The record is from RNAcentral.
AAAGAGGGUUAUUCUAUAAAAAGCUUCUAACUUUUUUAAAAAAGGUGAAAUUCCUUUUACUCUUUA